This 500-nucleotide ribosomal RNA is filed under the name Bacillus sp. (in: firmicutes). Its description in RNAcentral is "bacterial SSU rRNA". It matches the Rfam family "Bacterial small subunit ribosomal RNA", at positions 279 to 771 of the family's 1533-position model. The record is from RNAcentral. Lineage: Bacteria; Bacillati; Bacillota; Bacilli; Caryophanales; Bacillaceae.
AUGCGUAGCCGACCUGAGAGGGUGAUCGGCCACACUGGGACUGAGACACGGCCCAGACUCCUACGGGAGGCAGCAGUAGGGAAUCUUCCGCAAUGGACGAAAGUCUGACGGAGCAACGCCGCGUGAGUGAUGAAGGUUUUCGGAUCGUAAAGCUCUGUUGUUAGGGAAGAACAAGUGCAAGAGUAACUGCUUGCACCUUGACGGUACCUAACCAGAAAGCCACGGCUAACUACGUGCCAGCAGCCGCGGUAAUACGUAGGUGGCAAGCGUUGUCCGGAAUUAUUGGGCGUAAAGGGCUCGCAGGCGGUUUCUUAAGUCUGAUGUGAAAGCCCCCGGCUCAACCGGGGAGGGUCAUUGGAAACUGGGAAACUUGAGUGCAGAAGAGGAGAGUGGAAUUCCACGUGUAGCGGUGAAAUGCGUAGAGAUGUGGAGGAACACCAGUGGCGAAGGCGACUCUCUGGUCUGUAACUGACGCUGAGGAGCGAAAGCGUGGGGAGCGA